Molecule: ribosomal RNA, 1155 nt
Filed under: Triticum aestivum (bread wheat)
Lineage: Eukaryota; Viridiplantae; Streptophyta; Magnoliopsida; Poales; Poaceae
Description: partial small subunit ribosomal RNA
Source: RNAcentral
AUGCGGCCCGCGACUGCAAGGCCGACAAAGGCUUGCGGAAAGCAACGCAGCCCAACAAGUCCACAGAAAAAGAAAACGCGGCCCAACAAGCCGAGAGAACAGCACAGGCCCCCUCUCCCUCUCUCCCCCUGGUCGCCGUGUCGCUCGCAUCUCCGCACGCACCGCCGUCGCCGCCGGUGCUCCCUUCUCCCCCCACACCCCCGCCGACGGCUGUCUGCUACUCCGGUCAUCUCGCCCCGCCGAGGAAGGAAGGACAUGGCUCUGCGGGCGGCCGCCGCGAGGCUGGCGUCCUCCAGCCUCCGCCGCCGCCACGGCCACCUCCUCCCGGCGGCCGGCACCGCCAGCCACGCGGCCUUCCUCCACGCCCACGCCACCAGCUUCGGAUUCAAGCAGGUGCGCGAGGACGAGAAGAGCAAGCUGGUCGGCAACGUCUUCAGCAGCGUCGCCUCCAGCUACGACGUCAUGAAUGACCUCAUGAGCGCUGGCCUGCACAGGCUCUGGAAGGACAGGCUGAUCUCAAAGCUGAAUCCUUUUCCUGGGAUGAAGCACCUCGACGUGGCCGGUGGGACAGGGGAUGUUGCAUUCCGUGUGGUGGAAAGAAUUAAGAGUGUGAGCCACAGAGCUACGCAGGGUACUCUUACUGAUAUGGAAGAAGACACUCACAUUUAUGUUUGCGACAUUAAUCCAAAUAUGCUAGAAGUUGGAAAGAAGCGUGCUGCUGAAAAAGGCUACAAUGAAGAGCAGUGCCUUAGUUGGGUACAGGGAGAUGCAGAAGCUCUUUCUUUUGAGGAUGGGUCUAUGGAUGGCUAUACUAUUGCAUUCGGGAUCAGAAAUGUUACACACAUUGAGAAAGCUCUAUCGGAAGCUUACAGAAUUCUAAAGAAAGGAGGAAGGUUCCUGUGCUUGGAGUUGAGCCAUGUGGAUGUUCCAAUUUUUAAAGACAUUUACGACGUCUAUUCGUUUUCUGUGAUUCCGGCUGUGGGAGAGCUAGUUGCUGGUGAUAGGCAGUCGUACCAAUACUUGGUCGAGAGCAUUCGUCGGUUUCCAAAACAGGAAAAGUUUGCUCAGAUGAUCCAGGAAGCUGGAUUUGAGGCGGUCGAAUAUGAAAAUCUGGUGGGUGGUGUAGUUGCCAUCCACUCUGGAGUGAAACUGUAG